AGAGUUUGAUCCUGGCUCAGGACGAACGCUGGCGGCGUGCCUAACACAUGCAAGUCGAACGAAGUAAGUUGCUUCACCAAACGUUAAAGUAUCACCUCAAGCACAUUUUCAGUUAUAGGUAAAAGUGCAAGAGGGAGAAAAAGGUGACAGCAAGAUAAGGCUGAAGCAAGAAGCAAAUGUGCUUCACGCUCAUAUAGCUUGCCAACACACUCAUAGAAAUUAGAAGAUUUUAGUGUUUGGUGAAGUAACUUACUUAGUG
This 259-nucleotide ribosomal RNA is filed under the name Desulfitobacterium hafniense. Its description in RNAcentral is "partial 16S ribosomal RNA gene". Lineage: Bacteria; Bacillati; Bacillota; Clostridia; Eubacteriales; Desulfitobacteriaceae. The record is from RNAcentral.